CAAGUACUCCCUCCGUCCGAAAAUAUUUGUCAUUAAAAUAGAUAAAAAUGAUGUAUUUAGAACUAAAAUACAUCUAUAUACAUCUUCUUUUAUUCAUUUUGAUGAUAGAUAUUUCCGGACGGAGGGAAUAUUUU
This is a non-coding RNA of Triticum urartu, 134 nucleotides long. NCBI's taxonomy places the organism in Eukaryota, Viridiplantae, Streptophyta, Magnoliopsida, Poales, Poaceae. The record is from Rfam.